AUGGAGGCGCGCCCCCCGGCCCCUGAUCCUCAGCCUCAGAGGCAAAGCCCGCGGAUCUCCCCGCACCCCCAACCUCCCUCUCCCACCCUCCCCCCGGCGAUGCCAACCCGCAGCGAAGCGGGCCGGGGAGAGUUACCCGGCGAGGCCCAGGCGCGAAGACCGCAGAGGCGCGCGGGGCUCCGGGGCCGGGAGCUCGCCCGCAGCCGCUCGCUCCAGCCGGGUGCUGCCUCUCCCGCGGCAGCCGCAGCAUCGAGCCGGCGGAAACCGGAGGACGGUGGCGCGGCUCAGCGGCGGCCCGGGAAGGAGGCAGUCUCCCCGGACCCGGCGGGGGACCAGCGAGGAGUCCGAGGCGCCAGGCGGCGCGUGCGCUGCCCACCGCUCCCGGGGCCGGAUCCUCGGCGACUGCGCCGAGCGCCUCUGGAGUCGAGAGGAAGCUCCUCCCGCGGCAGCGGCUGCGGCCGCCCCCGAGUGCGCGGAGGAAGGUGCGGGGCAGUGAGGUGCAGAGAGAGCCGCCGGGGCGUCCCCGGGCGGGCGAGGCUGGAGCGGGCCGAGCCCCUACCUUUCUGGCUGGCUGGACUCCAGCCGCGCGCCCUCCCCGGGCGUCCCGGACAGGAAAAUCACCAAGGGAGGGCCCGGGGAAAGCGGCGGGUGGCUUUGGACGAGGUAGGAGGAUCGGGUUCUACAGACAAGGAGACACUCCCUUCCCGCCCCGGUUUGUUUGGAAAGCUGCAGGGGCGAAAGAGAGGGGCGGCUAGGGAGCUUCCUCCUCCCCGCCGGGCUGGCAGGCGGCAGAAGUAAACACUUUUUGCUUGGCUCGGCGGGGACUUGUGUGACACGAGGCGGGGCAGGCGGUUUGGUCCCCAGCAGAAAGGGCGGGAGUGUCCAGAGAGACCAGAAUUUCUGGGCUCUCCCCUUCAAGGACAAAUGUGUUAGUGCUUUUUAUCUUUCGGAGGAAACGAUACGUUAGGGGGAAGGAAGACGAAAUGUGUAUUUGCUUGUUGAAAUAGGUCUCCCUUGAGAAAUGUGUAUACUAUAGUGAUGAUACUUGGAUAGCUUUAUUUUUUAAAUGUCAGUGUUUGUGAAAUAAAAAAUAUGCCCUGGGAGAAGAGCCACAGACUUGGGUGCAGUUCAGAGUGAGUAACGUGUCAGGCCCUGAAACAAGGUCCUUUGUGAUGGACCUUCUGGUGUUAGUGUUAAUUUUAACACCGGCCCUAGGAGGCAGCAUUUGUUAUUUUCCCAAUUUUAUCAAAGAAUCGGACACGGCUGAGAACACACGCACAAUCAAAAAACCCAGACAGUUCAGGAAGUCCCCAACCCUUACCCUUUCUACAAAUUGCCUUUGUAGUAACCCACACAGAUUUUGUAAUUAUAAAGGUGGUACUUCAGACAUCUGAGUGGUCGUGGUAGAUUAGUUCCUAAACACUGUCUGACUCUUUGAGAC
This 1441-nucleotide long non-coding RNA is filed under the name Capra hircus (goat). Its description in RNAcentral is "lncRNA (ENSCHIG00010000184.1)". The record is from RNAcentral. Lineage: Eukaryota; Metazoa; Chordata; Mammalia; Artiodactyla; Bovidae.